UCUAGCCUGGUUGGCAGAGUGAAACUCCAUUUCUAAAAGUAAAACAAAAAUAAAUAAUGGGAAUAAUACCUUAGGUUCAUAGAGACAAAGGAAAUGGCUCAUUUGUCUCUUCAUGAAAUUGACUCAUUUGUCUGCAAGAAGAACACCUGGAAAGAAAAAGCAAGAAGUGAAAGAAAAUUAUCCCCUCACUAUAUAAUUGCCUCAGUUUUCAUUUCCUGAUUAACAGAAAACAUGCCUCAGAGACUGAUCUAUUUUCUCAUCUUGAACAUUCUUCCUCCCUUCUUUUUGCAUUCACCUCUCAAAUCCACCCUUUUCUCCACAUUUCCCAGGAGUUUCAAGUCCAGGAGACUAGAAUUUCAGGAUGCGGACCUGUAUGCAGAGAAUGAGGAUUUGACCUGACAGUCCCUCUGGAGAAAACUGAGCUCUCAAAUCUCAGCAGUGGGAUGGCGUGGAGAGACAAGUGGCAUGGCACAUGAAUAUAGUCAGGAGAUUUUGCUACUUCUCCGAAGAGCUGGGCUUCAACCAACACCACCAUCUAAAGCUUACGGAAGGUCCUAUCCAUCAGCAUGUUACCCCACACAACUUUUCUGAAUGGCGAAUGGGUAAGCUGUAUUGGAUAUGUCUUCUGACGUCUUCUCAGAUUUCUUUGGCCUUGACUGUGGCUGUAGCCAACCAGCUCCACCCAGUCCCACUGCCCAGGCCCUUCUCUCUGGCUGCUGUUGUAUAACCAGAGUGACUAGCUGGUGGAUGCACUCUCUGGCUCCUCCUGCCACUUCCACACUUGGAUAAAAUACUAUGCAACAGGAUAUGUAAUCUGGCUUCUGAAUGGCCACCAAAGGGUCUGACUUACAUGACCCAGAAGCAUAAGGGUUAAGCCCCUGUGGAGCAACCAUUGGGAAACAGGAUAUGGGAAGUUCAUGAGGAUAAUUCCCUCACCUACCUCCUUUGGUGGAUUUCUCUUAGGCGUGGUUUCUCCAUACACCCUGUCCAAACACUUGGCACAUGGUCAAGUGUGCACUCCUGCCAAGCAACCUGCAGUGUCUUUUGAGGCUCAUUAUAAAGUACAAAACUCCAUCUCAAAAAAAAAUAAAGUAGAGGCCAGAGUAGAAACCCACCACCAUGCAUUACUUCUAGUUUUCCUUGCCUCAAUUCUCUUUUUUCCCAAUCUUGUUAUUCUGAGUUAACACCCGCCAAAUAAAGCAUCAGCACUUAAUCCUUGCUUCAGACACUAUUUUUAGGGCAGUGGUUCUCAAAUUUUACAUCCCCUAGGGGGCUCAUUACAAUGCAGAUUCUGAUUCAGUGAGUCAGGAGUGAGGCCUAAGCUUCUAUAUUUCUAAUAAGCUGUCCCUGAUGCUGCUAGUUGAGGACCCCACUUUGAGAAGCAAGUUUCAGGGAACCUGGGU
Non-coding RNA from Macaca mulatta (Rhesus monkey), 1403 nucleotides. The record is from RefSeq and is a predicted model, not a curated record. NCBI's taxonomy places the organism in Eukaryota, Metazoa, Chordata, Mammalia, Primates, Cercopithecidae.